This 73-nucleotide transfer RNA is filed under the name Stegodyphus mimosarum. It matches the Rfam family "tRNA". Rfam says of the family: Transfer RNA (tRNA) molecules are approximately 80 nucleotides in length. Their secondary structure includes four short double-helical elements and three loops (D, anti-codon, and T loops). The record is from Rfam by way of RNAcentral. Lineage: Eukaryota; Metazoa; Arthropoda; Arachnida; Araneae; Eresidae.
GUCUUCGUGGUGUAGUGGUUAGCACGCUCGACGCGUAACCGAGAGGUCCGUGGUUCGAUUCCCGCCGAAGGUG